GUCCCUGUGGCUCAGUGGUAGAGCAUUGGAUUGCGGAAUCCGAAAGUCUGAGGUUUGAUUCCUCAUGGGGACU
Pocillopora damicornis (cauliflower coral) is the source of this 73-nucleotide non-coding RNA. NCBI's taxonomy places the organism in Eukaryota, Metazoa, Cnidaria, Anthozoa, Scleractinia, Pocilloporidae. The record is from the annotation of a RefSeq genome assembly.